This 625-nucleotide ribosomal RNA is filed under the name uncultured bacterium. RNAcentral's name for it is "bacterial SSU rRNA". The stretch from base 1 to 542 matches the Rfam family "Bacterial small subunit ribosomal RNA", at positions 338 to 873 of the family's 1533-position model. The record is from RNAcentral.
CCUACGGGAGGCAGCAGUGGGGAAUUUUGGACAAUGGGCGCAAGCCUGAUCCAGCAAUGCCGCGUGAGUGAAGAAGGCCUUCGGGUUGUAAAGCUCUUUUGUCAGGGAAGAAACGGCUGAGGCGAAUACCUUUGGCUAAUGACGGUACCUGAAGAAUAAGCACCGGCUAACUACGUGCCAGCAGCCGCGGUAAUACGUAGGGUGCAAGCGUUAAUCGGAAUUACUGGGCGUAAAGCGUGCGCAGGCGGUUUUGUAAGUCUGACGUGAAAUCCCCGGGCUCAACCUGGGAAUUGCGUUGGAGACUGCAAGGCUGGAGUCUGGCAGAGGGGGGUAGAAUUCCACGUGUAGCAGUGAAAUGCGUAGAGAUGUGGAGGAACACCGAUGGCGAAGGCAGCCCCCUGGGUCAAGACUGACGCUCAUGCACGAAAGCGUGGGGAGCAAACAGGAUUAGAUACCCUGGUAGUCCACGCCCUAAACGAUGUCUACUAGUUGUCGGGUCUUAAUUGACUUGGUAACGCAGCUAACGCGUGAAGUAGACCGCCUGGGGAGGUAACGGUCGCGAGAGUAAACUUACAAGUAGAGUUAGAGGCGNGAGAGNGCCGACGGACGACGACGAGGGAGGAGG